UAGGAAACCAAUAUAAACACUUAACUGGAGUGUCAAAUCUAUGUUCGUAUUUAUUGAUUAAAUGGAUGGCUCCUAAUUCCACCCUACCUCAUCAGAGCUCUGCAAGGUCUUUACCAGGCUUAUUCCACAUCCUAGACCCAGGACCACAAUUUGACAGUUAAGAUCUUCACCAGAAGAGACCUCAAUGCCUGCCCUCUUGUCAGACCAGCUGCAUUCAUCCAACCUACCCUGAUUGACCUCUGACCCCACUACCAUGUGCUCCAGACAGGACCCAUGGGAGCUCCAGGCUCGGCCACGUUCCCAGGCAGACUCUGGGAGUCAGCGGAUGUGGCCAGGUUUACCCAUUGCGUUGGGACGUGCCUGCUGAAACGGAAACACUGCUCCCAGCAGAGGACUUUAUGGUGGGAGGCAUGGGCUUUGCCCUUGCUAACCUGACCUCUGUCCCCAGCCCAAUUUCCCGUCUCUAGGCUCCAAAGCAGUUCCUGUGAGUGCCUAGGGGUACUGUUUCCAUUUAAAAAAUAUGGCAAGUGCUCUCUUCAGCAGCACAUAUACUAAAAUUAGAAUGAGACAGAGACAGCAUGGCCCCUGGGCAAGGAUGACACACAAAACAAAAAUUAAUUAAAAACAUAAUCAUGAAGGGGGAAAAGCAUGACAAAAUCUACUGCUAAGGCCAGGACACACAGAGAGAAGGCAACUAUUAAGAAAAGAAAGCUGAGCACGGUGGCUCGUGCCUAUAAUCCCAGCACUUUGGGAGGCCGAGGCGGGUGGAUCACCUGAGGUCAGGAGUUCGAGACCAGCCUGACCAAUAUGGUGAAACCCCGUCUCUACUAAAAAUGAAAAAUUAGCUGGGUGUUGUAG
RNAcentral lists this long non-coding RNA (858 nucleotides) under Homo sapiens (human). Lineage: Eukaryota; Metazoa; Chordata; Mammalia; Primates; Hominidae. The record is from RNAcentral.